GAAUAGGAUUGCUGCCUUCAAGAAGCAUCCAGUUGUUUCAGGAAAAUAAGACAAAGAACAUUAGAAAGAAAUUCCCAGGGGAUGCCUAGGACACCUCCAAAUAAAAAAGAUUACUGGGCAUCAACAGCUGCCCCCCACCCACAUGACGGGCAUUUCACUGCAUUCGUGGGUUUACCACCAGGUACAACAGGCACCGACAUCACUUGGUCAGUGAGAAAGGAAAGACACUUAAGCACAGAGAUGCUAAAUUUCUUAUCCAAAGUCACACAACAAGUCAAGAUUGGAGUCAAGAUUCAGACUGAGGCAGUAAAAAUCAAGAGCUUAUAUUCUUAAAUUCUGCUUGUCUGACUUCUCUCAGGGUAUUAUGAGCAAUUUGAAGAGAAAACAUUAAGUGAGACCACAUGAAGAGUUUGGAUCCAGUCAUAUGCAUCUUUCUGCUCAUCAGGGGAUUUAUUCUCAAGUCCUCACAGUCUUUUCAAAGGAGUUGCUGUCUCAUGAACAAUCUAUG
Long non-coding RNA from Hyaena hyaena (striped hyena), 508 nucleotides. RefSeq lists it as uncharacterized. The record is from RefSeq and is a predicted model, not a curated record. NCBI's taxonomy places the organism in Eukaryota, Metazoa, Chordata, Mammalia, Carnivora, Hyaenidae. The transcript is spliced from 4 exons.